GCCAGACACUGUGGUGGGUAUCUGUAGUCUCAGCUACUUGGGAGGCUGAGACAGGAAGAUUGCUUGAGCCCAAAAGUUCAAGGCCAAUUUAGUCAACAUAGACCAUGUCUCAA
Molecule: small RNA, 113 nt
Filed under: Marmota monax (woodchuck)
Lineage: Eukaryota; Metazoa; Chordata; Mammalia; Rodentia; Sciuridae
Source: RNAcentral